GCUAUAAUGAUUCACAACACAGGUAUGUUAGGGCUAUAAUGAUUCACAACACAGGUAUGUUAGGGCUAUAAUGAUUCACAACACAGGUAUGUUAGGGCUAUAAUGAUCCACAACACAGGUAUGUUAGGGCUAUAAUGAUCCACAACACAGGUAUGUUAGGGCUAUAAUGAUCCACAACACAGGUAUGUUAGGGCUAUAAUGAUCCAUAACACAGGUAUGUUAGGACUAUAAUGAUCCACAACACAGGUAUGUUAGGGCUAUAAUGAUCCACAACACAGGUAUGUUAGGGCUAUAAUGAUCCACAACACAGGUAUGUUAGGGCUAUAAUGAUCCAUAACACAGGUAUGUUAGGGCUAUAAUGAUCCACAACACAGGUAUGUUAGGGCUAUAAUGAUCCACAACACAGGUAUGUUAGGGCUAUAAUGAUCCACAACACAGGUAUGUUAGGGCUAUAAUGAUCCACAACACAGGUAUGUUAGGGCUAUAAUGAUUCACAACACAGGUAUGUUAGGGCUAUAAUGAUCCACAACACAGGUAUGUUA
This is a long non-coding RNA of Oncorhynchus keta (chum salmon), 542 nucleotides long. RefSeq lists it as uncharacterized. The transcript has 3 exons. The record is from RefSeq and is a predicted model, not a curated record. NCBI's taxonomy places the organism in Eukaryota, Metazoa, Chordata, Actinopteri, Salmoniformes, Salmonidae.